AAGAAAAAGCACAACAUCACCUACAGUCAAACACACAGGGAGAAGACAAUUGGACAGACAGUGUAACAUAUUUUAGUGGGAUUCUGGAAUUUAAAGUUCAGCAGCAAAAUCAGACCAUGGAGGACAAAAAUAACUACAGUGAUCUCAUCAUCUCAACCACAACAACUGAUACGUUUCACUAUUACCCUGAAACUAAAAGACCUUUUAAUCCACCCUAUGAUUAUUUUACUGUAAUCAGACUGUCCAUCUUCUUCAUCACUGGUGUGUGUGUCGGGCUGCCGUGUCUGAUUUGGGCUUUUUAUUUUGUGCACCUUCAGAGAAAGACCAGAGGCCGGAUCUCAGCCUUCAUCAUCCUCCUCCUCCUCAGUGACCUGCUUCAACUCCUCCUGUAUCCAUAUAUAGUAUAUACACUUCUUUCUUUUCGUUUUCCCUUUGGCAUUGACACGUUUAUUUCAGCGACUAUUUAUUGGUAUCUGAAAAUUUGUAGCCUUCACCUACAACAGCUGGUGGCUCUGGAGGGGGUUCUGACACUGAAAUAUCCACAGAUCUCUGCUCAUAUUUUCUCACCCCCCUGUUACAUCAUAAUCUCCAUCAUUAUACUGCUUUUUCUUUUAACGUGUGUACUGUUAUUAGGUUUCAGAGGCUUUCAUAGUGCACAUUUUGGUUUUGCCAUAUUUCUGGCUCCUGCGUGUUUAUUGGUUGUCACAGGCAUAAUCACCUACAAAGCUCCGCCCACUCCUGCCAGCACACCUGCCACUGACAACAGACCAGGUGCAUUGUUGUUUCUUGUUACAAUGGUUACCAUGGUUGUGCUUUAUUUACCAUAUAUCCUGGUCUCCUAUAUUCAUAUUAUCUUCUUUCCUAUAAUGUCAUGGUACAUGAUGUCUUCUUGUCUGUUGAGUUUGACAGUGAUUUCAGAGCCUCUCCUGUGUGUGCUGGUCUGCAGAGAGAAUCUCAGCAUUCAGACAAAACAAACACACAUAGAGCUCAACUCUGAACAGACAGCAGUCUGAACUGAUUUCUGAACUAUCAUCCACUGCCUUGACUUGUAUUUGCUUCAUUGUUUGUACUUUUUAAAUGAACCUACAAACACACCUACAUCCUACUUUCCGAAACUGUUUAAUAAUCGACAUAAUGUCUCAAUGAGCAGUUGAGUGCUUGAAUGAUAAUUAAAAAUAUAUUAAAACUUG
Labeo rohita (rohu) is the source of this 1190-nucleotide long non-coding RNA. RefSeq lists it as uncharacterized. The transcript is spliced from 2 exons. The record is from RefSeq and is a predicted model, not a curated record. Lineage: Eukaryota; Metazoa; Chordata; Actinopteri; Cypriniformes; Cyprinidae.